AGGGGCUUAGCUCAAUGGGAGAGCGCAGAUAAAAUCAUUUAUUGAUUAUGAGAUUAUGUCUCAAAUCUGUUGAUUUAUAUUGCUGAAAUCUUGGUUCGAUUCCAAGAGUCCCUA
Molecule: non-coding RNA, 114 nt
Organism: Trichomonas vaginalis G3
Lineage: Eukaryota; Parabasalia; Trichomonadida; Trichomonadidae
Source: the annotation of a RefSeq genome assembly